This 433-nucleotide ribosomal RNA is filed under the name uncultured bacterium. RNAcentral's name for it is "partial 16S ribosomal RNA". It matches the Rfam family "Bacterial small subunit ribosomal RNA", at positions 29 to 507 of the family's 1533-position model. The record is from RNAcentral.
AACGAACGCUGGCGGCAUGCCUAACACAUGCAAGUCGAACGAGACCUUCGGGUCUAGUGGCGCACGGGUGCGUAACGCGUGGGAACCUGCCCUUAGGUUCGGAAUAACUCCCCGAAAGGGGUGCUAAUACCGGAUAAUGUCUUCGCACCAAAGAUUUAUCGCCUUUGGAUGGGCCCGCGUUGGAUUCGCUAGUUGGUAGGGUAAAAGCCUACCAAGGCGACGAUCCAUAGCUGGUCGGAGAGGAGGAUCAGCCACACUGGGACUGAGACACGGCCCAGACUCCUACGGGAGGCAGCAGUGGGGAAUAUUGGACAAUGGGCGAAAGCCUGAUCCAGCAAUGCCGCGUGAGAGAUGAAGGCCGUAGGGUUGUAAAGCUCUUUUACCCGGGAUGAUAAUGACAGUACCGGGAGAAUAAGCACCGGCUAACUCCGUG